GGGACUUUCAUUUCUCUCCAUUUCCCUCCUAGCUAUUCAGAGUGUAAAUUCAAUUCCAAUAGCCUAUAUGUUCCAGAAUAUUGGCAAGAUUAAAAAAAGACCAGAAUAUGAAUGGAAAAGCAUACCCAAAUGACAAUAUUGAAAUACAAGUACUAGCAGAAACAUAACAAUAACAGUAGAAGCACUUCAAUACAUGCCGUAUCAUAUUGUUAUGCUCCAGCCUUCAGGUGCACAUGGCCUAAAUAAAACCUUAAAAACAAGAACAUAGAGAUUAAAAAAAUCAGUCCAAAGUAAAAGAAACAAAGAAGGGGAAAUUGUUUUGAUGAAGAAGAUACAUGAAUUUAUCAUCAAAAUACAUCUGAAUGUUAAAGAAAUGAAAUUAAUUUUUUUGGCCACACAAUUUAACCCUAUAGGUUAUCUUGGAUUCCAACUAGCAGCCCCUUCAGAAAAUAUAGCCCAGAAAAUUAAAUACAUAACAAAGGGGUUUUCCCUAACUAUAGCAGAUCUAAGAAUUUUAAACAUAACAGUACAUAGCAUUUAAAUGCAUUUAACUAUAAUAAAUUGGCAAAAUGUUUACAGAUGUCAUUUCUGACAGCCAGGAUGGUUGCUACAUCAUCAUGAGCUCGAGCAGAAAUUAUAAAAAGUAACUUUCCUCUAGGUGAUUUUGCUUUAGGAAAGUUCCUUGGACUGAGCAUCCUUGCUUAUGCAACCAAGGAAAAACUUUCUUAGACUUAGUCUAUUAUGAACCCAAAACACAAAAAUUUGAGUGCCACCAUACAUGAUGUGUCUUGGAUUCAUGAUGCACUGAGUCUAAGCAAGAAUUUCCCAAGUAAGAAAUACGUUUUUGGAUGUUUCUAAAUAUUCAGAAGCACAUCUGCAAAGCUCUGGGGAGAUGCUAUAACCUGAUAAGAAGCAAAACACAGAAGCCAAAAAGAAAAGCAUGCUGCUGCAAAGAACAAAGAGGUGAAAUGCCUAUCUUAAAGAUGCAGGCAAUCUAGUAGUGAAGCACACUGCAUACCUGAACCCAUUCUUGAGAUAUUCCAGGUCUCCCUUGGCCACCAUCUACCUCAGAUUCCUUUGCUAGUCCUUACUUUUUGCCUCCAUAUGAGAAUCUCAAAAGUUCUUUGUUCAUAGUCACGCUUCAUACCUCUGGCAAGUAUUUCUUUACCUUCCUCUAUAAGACAGGGACGUGUUGUACCAGUUCUGACUGAAUAAUACAUACUGACACUAUGAACUCUACCAAAGAGUAGCCAACUAACUGUCUAACUAAAGGUGCAGCUCACAACCAUCUACCCCAGAAAUUAUUCAUUGCAUUUGUAACAUAAAUGCCAUCAAUCGAAGAGAAAAUAAGUAGAAAAUAAAAAAAUUUGGAGAACAGACUGUUGAUGCAGAUCUUGAAAACUGAACAGAUCCUGAAAAGCUUCCUGUAGCAGUUGUCACAGGACUAGUACUAGCUACAUUCUUGCAAGAUCCAAAAGGCGCUCCUGCCUGGCAGGCUGUCACAGUACUACAACCACACAACGUCUGGCCAUUCAUCCUGUCCAAAACAUCAAAAACUCCGCCACCAUCACUUCUCAUGUAAAAGUUGACUGCUAAAAAAUUGGGCAUCACAUUCCCUGCUGCUUUAUAACAGGUGCCAACCAUCUGAGCAAGUGGAGUUGAAUGCUCUUUGCAGGCUUCACUCUCAACUGGAUAUGUUGGGAAGUAAUUCUCUAGGAAAAGAGAUGCACUUCUGGAAUUCAGUGGCUUUGACUCUUUUCUAUUUGGGCAUGAGCCUGGCUUCACCCCAGGAUCGCCAGUUUCCAAUAUGUACUUCCACUGAUAAGCAAUGCCUUCCUCUGCUUCCUUUGAAGCAAUUGUAGUGAAAACCAGAAGCCGGCAAUUCUCUUGCACCAUCUGAGUCACAGUGGGCCAAUCUUCACCCUUUUUGGGCAUCUUGGAGACAGGAAACCAAUAUUUAUAUAAACCAGCAUUAGUGAACAGCUUUGUUAACCCUUUUGGGGUAUGCACAUAGUCCUCAAUUAUAAUGGUCACAAUCUCAGUUGGAUUUUCACUCAAGAAUGCUUCUACUUCCCUCAAGGUGUUAAUUGCUGGUCCAAAGGCUGUGAAGUUGAAACAUUGCCCUCGAAAAGAAUGGCAGAGCCAGAUAUCAUCCUCAAAAUCAUACAUAUCCAGCAUCAGUCCCCUUACGCCAUUCCUCAACUGAUUAGUCACAGUAUCUUCUUGAUUAUAAAAUGUCAGUCUUUGAACACCCGGCAAAAGCGGUGCAUCCAGGAUGCUAAACGCAUUAUGAGUCACUAACCAUGUAUACUUGUUAAAAGGCAACGCAUCAAUAAUAGAGGUGGGAAUGAUAGCUUGGCCUCUGGUGCAGACGGGUUGAUUCUUGCCCAAAGCAGGGCAGUUUCCACAGAAAAGCCCUGGCCCACAAUUUUUAGCUGCUAUGCACAAGUCCAGCACCUGUGCAUGUGCUAUGAAGGCUAACGAGAUCAGUAGCAGAUAGAGGCACAGGUACCCAACAGCGAGAGGGCCUCCGCGUAACCUACAGUGGUCCGCGAAGCACGCAAACAUGGCCACUGCUUAUGCAGGGCUCGAGAGAGAGAGAGAGAGGUGCAAAGCGAAAGAGAAGUUUUACUGUGCAAUGAAGGUGACGAGUGGUUUUUUGGGUAUUAAUUAUUGAAGGGCGG
Molecule: unclassified non-coding RNA, 2684 nt
Filed under: Hevea brasiliensis (rubber tree)
Lineage: Eukaryota; Viridiplantae; Streptophyta; Magnoliopsida; Malpighiales; Euphorbiaceae
Source: RNAcentral